CUGAAGGUCGUGGAGCGGCCUAAGGUGAUCUACAAUAAAAUAUCUAGUAAGUACGUGAUGUGGAUGCAUAUCGAUGAUGCGGAAUACAGCAAGGCCGCGAUCGGUGUCGCGGUGAGCAGUUCCCCGACCGGGCCUUUCGUGUACCUAGGCAGCGCGAGGCCCAACGGCUUCGACAGCCGCGACAUGACGGUGUUCAAGGACGACGACGGCACGGCGUAUCUGAUCUACGCCUCGGUUGGGAAUAAGGAGAUCCACAUUAGUCCUUUGAGUGAGGAUUAUCUGGAGGUGGCGAACGUGACGGCGAGGGCGCUGAUCGGGAUGCACCGCGAGGCGCCGGCGGUGUUCAAGCACGGAGGGGUGUACUACAUGGUGACGUCCGGGUGCAGCGGGUGGCUGCCGAACGAGGCGCUCGUGCACGAGGCGGAGUCGAUGCUCGGGCCGUGGGAGACCAUCGGGAACCCCUGCGUGGGGGCCAACAAGGCGUACCGCGCCGCCACGUUCUACUCGCAAGGCAGCUUCGUGCUGCCGAUGCCGCGCGGCGACAGCGACGGUGAAGGUGGCCGGGGUUUGUUUAUUUUCAUGGCGGAUAGGUGGAAUUCGGCGGAUUUGCGUGAUUCGAGGUAUUUGUGGCUGCCGUUGACCGUGAAGGCAAGGUAUGAGAGGCACACGCCGUUUCCGCUGUGGUCGAGAGUGGCCGUGUUUUGGCAUGUGAGAUGGAGGGCUCCUAUUAAGGAGAAUGGAGAGACUUAUUAUGUAGCUCAGUACUUUCAGUCUUUAGAUGAUUUGUGAAACACAAGAAUCUUGCUCUCUGUUUUUAACGGAGAUUUAGUGUACCACACUUUAUAUCCCACUUUAUGUACCACUUUCAAUUUUAUUUAAUUUCUUAUGAAUAGUUUCUUCAAUUUCAAUUUUAUAUGCUUUAGUUUAAUUUUAUGAUUAUUAACUAGGGUUUAUUCCAUCAAUCUAGGGUAUAUAAUUAUUUUUUAUCAUUUAAUUUCACUUUUAUUAGCUAAUAUAUAAUAGGUCGAUAAAUUCAAAAUCAUGGUAUAUACUUUUUAAUAAAUUUAAUUUUUUGAAAUAAAAUUUCAAUAUAAUUCAUAGUAUUAUAAUAAAUUUUAUUUUUAUAAAAAAUAUUUUUAAAAUAAUAGAUAUAAGCAUGAGACACAAUGACACACAUAAAAUUGUGGGACACUGGAUCUCAUCCAGUUUUUAACUGCAUCUUUCAUCUGCUUCUUCUUUUUUUUUCUUUUGAUAAAUUAGAUAAGUAAAUAAAGAAAUUUAAAUACCGCGUGAUGGAGGACUCGAACUCAAUACUUCAAGUCUUAGGCAUUAACCUUCUACCGUUGAAUCAACACAUGCACAUAUUUUUAAUCUUUUCUUUCACUUAUUGUGUGGUUUACAAUUUACAAGUAAAUAAUUAAUAAUUAAUUAAUCAAUAAAUUAACUUAUUAUUAUUAUUAUUAUUAUUAUUAUUAUUAUUAUUAUUAUUAUUAUUAUUAUUAUUAUUAUUAUUAUAUAUUCCUUUCGUCAUAUAAAAGUAUGGCACUUUUGGUGGGCACAUGUAUUAAAAAAAUUGGUGGUGAUUUUUAUGUAGUGGAAGAAUGGUUUCACCAAAAUUUGAAAUAAGUGAUUGAAAUUGAAUUAAUAAUGAUUUUUUUUUAGAUAAUAUGUGUUUAAGGAUAAAAGAUAAGAAAAAGUAGUGGGAUGAUGUCUUAAAAUGGAACGUGACAUAUUUUUCGUGAACGAAUGGAGUACUAUAAUUUAAUUUUAAUUAUUUUUUUACUAUUUUAUGUAACUAUAUAAAUACUAUCGUGCAUCACUCAAGGUAGCGUCACUAUUUAAAAUUAAAAUACUAAAUUUAAUUCAGUCUCUCUCAAAUUCGGUUUGAAAUAUUUUUUUAAAAAUUUGAUUAACUUGUCAGUUCGAUGAGAUAUUUUUAAAUCGAAUAAAAUCACAAUCUGAAUUAUAUAUAUAAUAUUAGUUUUACCUAAAUAAAUUAGUUCUUAUUCUAAUUUCCUAAAAUUAUAACCCUAACCGAUCCUUAAAAAAUUAGAUGAAAAGUUGCAUCUUCAGUUAAAAUAAAAUAAUAAAAAAUAGAUUGUUAGCCACACAAGUUUAAAAUAUAUUCACUCUGUUUCAUCUCACUUGGUUUAACCCAAAUGGGAUCCUCUGUUCCAAAAUAUAGUGUGUACCACAUGUACCACUCUUCAUUUCUUUAUAUUUUUAAAUUAUUUCUAUUCAAAUUUAAUUUAGUGCUUUUAUAUAAUACUAGAACGUCCAUUCGUGCGAUCACUCAUCGAUUUAGGGUUAUAUUUAAAUAAAUAUAAAAUAUAUUUGAAUUAGUAAUAGAUUAUUUGGGUUCAUUAAUUCAAAGUUAAGGUAUAUAAUUUUUUAAAUUUAAUUUUCAAUGAUAAAUACUAAUUAAAGUUUAUAAUAUAAUAAUAAUUUUUAUUUUUAUAAAAAAUAAUUUAUAAAACAAAGAAAUGAAGAGUGGUACACGUGGUACACACAAUAUUUUGGGACAGAGGAUCUCAUAUGUGGUUUAACCUACUUAAACUGUGUAAGAUAUAACUAUAAAUAAUUUUCAUAUAUGGGGUUCCAAGACACCGGCGGCGACAACGGCGGAUAGCUAGAGAGAAACCUUUGCAGGCGUGUGUGUUAAUUGGACAGUCAAUUUAGUUUGAACAAAAUUGAUAUGUGCUUUAAAUCUUGGACUUACAUAUUUAUUGAGGACAAUCCAAAAUAUAUAAUACAACCUUAUGAAAUUAAAUAAACACUGCCUAGUGCUUAUGGCUACGAAGAAAGUGCAUAUAAAAAAAACUGAAAAACGAAACUUGCUUCUUGUUAAUACGAAACUUAAUUGUUUGAAAAAUUAACUGCCUACAUAUCCAGGAAUGGGAUUCUCUGUCCCACAAUUUAGGGGGGUGUAUUCGUUGUGGAAUUUGAUGGAUUUCUAUGGAUUUUAAAAGUCUGGGUGUAUUCGUUCAAGACUUUUAAAAGUCUGCAGAAAUCUGGGUGUAUUCGUUCAAGACUUUUAAAAGUCCAUAUAAAUCUGAGUGUAUUCGUUCAAGACUUUUAAAAAUCCAUACAAAUCUAGGUGUAUUCGUUAUUCCAUUGACUUAAAAUCCGGAAUGACUUCCAUGGAUUUCAUCCAAAAAAUACACACGACGAAAUCCGGCCAAGAACCACGAGAAUUGAAAUCCAUGAAAUUUUAAACGAGCGCUGAGUUCCAGCGCCUGCGGCCAAGAAGCCAGCGAGCGCUGGAACUCAGCGGGCGCUGGGUAUAACAUAGCCCACUUUUGGCUUAUGUUUUUGCUUACAUUGUGCCUCGAAGCUUUUGGUGCUGUGUGAUGUGCUUUUGAUAAGUGAUGGCUGACAAGCUUGUGCAAAUACAUAAUUAUUAAUGGACCGACUGCAUGGCUGACAAGCUUGUGCAAAUGUCUUUCAGGUGGCAGCCUUUUUUGAUGCCACAAGGCCCACAAUUGCAACAGAUGCUGAUAUUAAGCUAGCUGCGAAUUGGAUAUUAAGCUCGCUGGAACCCAGCGUCCGCUGGGUUUCCAGUGGUCGUUGGGUUUCCAGCCGUGCUGGGACUCAGCAGGCGUUGACAUCAUGGAUUUCAAUUCCAGAAUUAUUCCCUAAAUUCUUCGAAAAUCAGUGAAAAUCGGGGUGAAAUCCAACCAAGAAUUCUUUGAAAAUCGUCUGGAAUCUAUGUGAAUUCCAUGGAAUUUAAAUUCCAUGGACUUUUUAAAGUCUGUGUAAAUCCACAACGAAUACACCCCCCUUAGUGUGUACCAUUGUGUACUACUCUUAAUUUAUCUAUUUUAUAAUUGUUUAUUAUAAAAAUAAAAAAUAUUAUUAUAUUAUGAACUCGAAUUAAUAUAUCACUAAAAAUUGAAAUUUUAAAAAAUUAUAUAUCCUAACUUUGAAUUAAUUAAUUAUCUCAAAUAAUCAAUUAUUAAUUAAAUAAAUAUAAAAAAAUAAUUAUAAAUUCUAAUUAGAUGAGUGAACCCUUGUUAAUUAUCUUUCUAUUAUCUUUUUAUCUUGUUAACGCAUUACACCCCAACAAGUUUGGUAAGGUUUGAUUUUUAUUUUUAUAAGGUUGGAAUUAAGGUUUGACUUAAAAAAGUAUCAAAACAAAUGAAAAUAACGAAUUUCCGAGCUUCCAAGCAAUCCUCCCUCCUUGGCAUCGAGAUUUUAAAAAUGGCAACUGGAAUUCAUUGUUUAAUCAUUCUUGGGCAUCAAGAACUGCCGCGGAAUCUGCUAAAUCAACAUGUCCAAUAAUAAAUCUUGACUUUCAUAAAACCAGGCAAGCACAGCUAAAACAAUCACACACAUGGCCGGCAUCCGCUGCUUGUGGCGGUGGGCCGUCGUUCUCUGCGGCGUCGCCGUCCUCCUCAUCCUCCAAAUCUACUCCUUCUCCGCCCAAUACAAUAAGAUAGCGCGCGUGUUGGCACUGCAGGCCCCCCUUCUAAGCUUCGAAGAACUCGAGCAAGUGGAGUAUGUCACUCUCCUGCCGCCCUAUGGCCUCAAACACCCUCAAACGAUCAACCUCAACGACGAGUUCCUCAACGAAUCCUCCACCGCUCGCACCAUUUUCUUCCCCAGCUCUUGGCAGGGCACCCUCGAUCCAAGGAAGACCAGCAUAAACACCACCAACCACUUCUACUUGCCGGAAAAACUUUGGCUCGACACCGACGGGAACCCGAUCCAAGCCCACGGCGGCGGCAUCCUCUUCGAUGAAAAAUCCGAGACCUAUUACUGGUAUGGUGAGCACAAAGACGGCCCGACUUACCACUCCCAAGCCACUGGCACCGCACGCGUCGACGUCAUCGGCGUCGGCUGCUACUCCUCCAAGAAUCUCUGGGCGUGGAAGUUCGAAGGCGUUGUGCUGGCGGCCAAGGAGACCGACGCCGCCCACGACCUGCACAAGCUGAAGGUCGUGGAGCGGCCUAAGGUGAUCUACAAUAAAAUAUCUAGUAAGUACGUGAUGUGGAUGCAUAUCGAUGAUGCGGAAUACAGCAAGGCCGCGGUCGGUGUCGCGGUGAGCAGUUCCCCGACCGGGCCUUUCGUGUACCUAGGCAGCGCGAGGCCCAACGGCUUCGACAGCCGCGACAUGACGGUGUUCAAGGACGACGAC
RNAcentral lists this long non-coding RNA (5137 nucleotides) under Salvia miltiorrhiza (redroot sage). RNAcentral describes it as "long non-coding RNA (SMIL_LNC005937)". Lineage: Eukaryota; Viridiplantae; Streptophyta; Magnoliopsida; Lamiales; Lamiaceae. The record is from RNAcentral.